GACGAACGCUGGCGGCGUGCCUAAUACAUGCAAGUCGAGCGGACUUAAAAAGCUUGCUUUUUAAGUUAGCGGCGGACGGGUGAGUAACACGUGGGCAACCUGCCUGUAAGACUGGGAUAACUUCGGGAAACCGGAGCUAAUACCGGAUAAUCCUUUCCUACUCAUGUAGGAAAGCUGAAAGACGGUUUACGCUGUCACUUACAGAUGGGCCCGCGGCGCAUUAGCUAGUUGGUGAGGUAACGGCUCACCAAGGCGACGGUGUGUAGCCGACCUGGGAGGGUGAUCGGCCACACUGGGACUGAGACACGGCCCAGACUCCUACGGGAGGCAGCAGUAGGGAAUCUUCCGCAAUGGACGAAAGUCUGACGGAGCAACGCCGCGUGAGUGAUGAAGGUUUUCGGAUCGUAAAACUCUGUUGUUAGGGAAGAACAAGUACGAGAGUAACUGCUCGUACCUUGACGGUACCUAACCAGAAAGCCACGGCUAACUACGUGCCAGCCGCCGCGGUAA
This 510-nucleotide ribosomal RNA is filed under the name uncultured bacterium. RNAcentral's name for it is "partial 16S ribosomal RNA". It matches the Rfam family "Bacterial small subunit ribosomal RNA", at positions 28 to 523 of the family's 1533-position model. The record is from RNAcentral.